RNAcentral lists this ribosomal RNA (493 nucleotides) under uncultured bacterium. Its description in RNAcentral is "bacterial SSU rRNA". It matches the Rfam family "Bacterial small subunit ribosomal RNA", at positions 903 to 1397 of the family's 1533-position model. The record is from RNAcentral.
AAAUGAAUUGACGGGGACCCGCACAAGCGGUGGAGCAUGUGGUUUAAUUCGAAGCAACGCGAAGAACCUUACCAGGUCUUGACAUCCUUUGACCACUUCAGAGAUGAAGCUUUCCCUUCGGGGACAAAGUGACAGGUGGUGCAUGGUUGUCGUCAGCUCGUGUCGUGAGAUGUUGGGUUAAGUCCCGCAACGAGCGCAACCCUUAUUACUAGUUGCCAGCAUUCAGUUGGGCACUCUAGUGAGACUGCCGGUGACAAACCGGAGGAAGGUGGGGAUGACGUCAAAUCAUCAUGCCCCUUAUGACCUGGGCUACACACGUGCUACAAUGGCAAGUACAACGAGCAGCUAACCCGCGAGGGUACGCGAAUCUCUUAAAACUUGUCUCAGUUCGGAUUGUAGGCUGCAACUCGCCUACAUGAAGUCGGAAUCGCUAGUAAUCGCGGAUCAGCACGCCGCGGUGAAUACGUUCCCGGGUCUUGUACACACCGCCCGU